GACGAACGCUGGCGGCGUGCUUAACACAUGCAAGUCGAACGAUGAAGCUGGAGCUUGCUCCGGUGGAUUAGUGGCGAACGGGUGAGUAACACGUGAGCAAUCUGCCCUUGACUCUGGGAUAACUGCGGGAAACUGUAGCUAAUACCGGAUAUGAGGCUUGGAGGCAUCUCCAGGUCUGGAAAGAAUUUCGGUCAAGGAUGAGCUCGCGGCCUAUCAGCUAGUUGGUGAGGGAAUGGCUCACCAAGGCGACGACGGGUAGCCGGCCUGAGAGGGUGACCGGCCACACUGGGACUGAGACACGGCCCAGACUCCUACGGGAGGCAGCAGUGGGGAAUAUUGCACAAUGGGCGAAAGCCUGAUGCAGCAACGCCGCGUGAGGGAUGAAGGCCUUCGGGUUGUAAACCUCUUUUAGCAGGGAAGAAGCGAAAGUGACGGUACCUGCAGAAAAAGCACCGGCUAACUACGUGCCAGCAGCCGCGGUAA
RNAcentral lists this ribosomal RNA (483 nucleotides) under uncultured bacterium. Its description in RNAcentral is "partial 16S ribosomal RNA". It matches the Rfam family "Bacterial small subunit ribosomal RNA", at positions 28 to 523 of the family's 1533-position model. The record is from RNAcentral.